AUGGUAAUAUUUGGGUUCUUGUAGUUUGUUACAUUAUUAAUUGCUUUUGUUAUAUUUUUCAGUUGAUGCAAGAUGGACAAGCGGGCAGGAGAAUGAUAGUGAAAUAUUUAGAGGAUAUGUAGCCGGGAGCACAAACGUUUACGAUAAUAUCGUUAUCUCUAUCGCUCUUCAAUAUUGGCGCGACAGAGCCAGACUGUGUUUCAAUCGGCGUCUAGCGACGGCGAAUUUCCUCUGAGCAAUUCUGUCAGGGUAUGCUGCAAAGGAAUGUUGCCUAGACUUGCCGCGAGAGAUGUGAAAUGCCAUGACACAAACAAAUUUUAAAUGGGCAUGAUAUAUACUCAACAACAGCGGGCACUACAAGGCUCUGGCAUAGAGUACCUAGAGCAUGGAAUGAGGCUACCAUUGCAUAGUUAAAUAUGAUGUGGCUCCUUCUUGUCAUACUUUCAACAGCUGCAGAAAAAGAAAAACAAUGUGACAGUGAACCAUACUUCGGCCAGUGAGGUGUAAUUGAACUAAAUGCCAUAAAACCAACUUGUUUGAAAUAGGUCCAGAAAAGUUAUAAGUUCAUGGUAUAUUAGAAAACACUCAAGAUGUCGAGGACACACAAGAAGUUGAUGUCGA
Leguminivora glycinivorella is the source of this 621-nucleotide long non-coding RNA. RefSeq lists it as uncharacterized. The record is from RefSeq and is a predicted model, not a curated record. Lineage: Eukaryota; Metazoa; Arthropoda; Insecta; Lepidoptera; Tortricidae. The transcript has 3 exons.